UGUGUGUAGCUUAGUGGUAGAGUAUUUGCCUAGCAUGCAGAAGGACUUGGCUUUUAUCCCCAGCACUACAA
Molecule: transfer RNA, 71 nt
Filed under: Dipodomys ordii (Ord's kangaroo rat)
Lineage: Eukaryota; Metazoa; Chordata; Mammalia; Rodentia; Heteromyidae
Rfam family: tRNA
About the family: Transfer RNA (tRNA) molecules are approximately 80 nucleotides in length. Their secondary structure includes four short double-helical elements and three loops (D, anti-codon, and T loops).
Source: Rfam by way of RNAcentral